AGCAAUUUUAAAAGAAAUCUCCGUUUACAUUUUCUCUAAAUUCACGCUGUGGAUACGUACUCCAUUAGAAAACCACUGAGCCCGAAACCAGCAGCGCCGAAGGAAGCCGCCCGGCCAAACCCUUCAGACUUCAUUCGAUUCGACCUCUUCUCCUCCGGCAGCUGCCCCGGCCAUGGCCUCCUCCUCCUCCUCCUCCUCCCAGAUCGACGAUCCGGCGGCGGCGAGGCGUCCCCCGCGGCAGCAGCGGAAGCCGCCGUUGCUGAUGCUGCUCCCGCUCAUCUACGCCCCCGCGCUCCCGCUCAUCAGGAUCGGGUUGCGGCACAACCCUGUGUGGAGGGACCGCCUCUUCUACGGCGUCCUCGCAGGCGCCUUCGCCCACGGCACCUACCUCAUGUUUUGUUAUCUGAGAGGAUACAUACUGAUUAAUGAUUACUGCAAAAUGAUUACCUGAGAGAAAAGAAAGAUAAUGCUGCACGCUAUCCACCGGUAGAAAAAUAACCAGAGCUAGAUCGGAACUAUAUGACGCAGAGAGCAAAUGAGUUGCUUCCCUCCUCCAAAGAUCAAGAGAUGAGUUUUUCAGGCAGCAAAUGUUGAUUCCAUUGAAAGUCAGCAACGGAUGAAGCUGACUGGUUAGUCAGACUAUCAAGUGUGCCCUGUACCUAUUUCUUCUUCCAUUUAUGGAUUAUGUUCGCUAAAAAGAUAGAAUGGUGAGCGGACAAAAUAAUUCUGAUUGCCAGCAAUACAUCAGGCAACAUCUUUACGAUUUGUUGCAAUUUCUCAUUGGCUGCUGAGAUUUGUAAUAAUAGGUGCUUCUGAUGAUUUUAGGUGCUAUAUAAAAAUAAUUGGAAACUA
This is an RNA transcript of Phragmites australis (common reed), 852 nucleotides long. RefSeq lists it as uncharacterized. The record is from RefSeq and is a predicted model, not a curated record. The transcript is spliced from 5 exons. Lineage: Eukaryota; Viridiplantae; Streptophyta; Magnoliopsida; Poales; Poaceae.